AUACGUAGGGGGCGAGCGUAAUCCGCAAUUAUUGGGCGUAAAGAGUACGUAGAAGGUUUCCUAAGCGAGGGGUUUAAGGCACUGGCUUAACCAAUGUUCGCCCCCCGAACUGGGGAACUUGAGUGCUGGAGAGGAAAGCGGAAUUCCUAGCGUAGCGGUGAAAUGCGUAGAUAUUAGGAGGAACACCAGUGGCGAAGGCGGCUUUCUGGACAGUAACUGACACUGAGGUACGAAAGUGUGGGGAGCAAACAGGAUUAGAUACCCUGGUAGUCCACACCGUAAACGAUGAGCACUAGGUGUCGGGCUCGCAAGAGUUCGGUGCCGCAUGUAACGCAUUAAGUGGUCCGCCUGGGGAGUAUGUACGCAAGUAUUAUUUUCAAAGGAAUUGACGGGG
RNAcentral lists this ribosomal RNA (394 nucleotides) under uncultured bacterium. Its description in RNAcentral is "partial 16S ribosomal RNA". It matches the Rfam family "Bacterial small subunit ribosomal RNA", at positions 523 to 918 of the family's 1533-position model. The record is from RNAcentral.